This 478-nucleotide ribosomal RNA is filed under the name uncultured bacterium. RNAcentral describes it as "partial 16S ribosomal RNA". It matches the Rfam family "Bacterial small subunit ribosomal RNA", at positions 28 to 523 of the family's 1533-position model. The record is from RNAcentral.
GACGAACGCUGGCGGCGUGCUUAACACAUGCAAGUCGAACGGUAAGGCCCUUCGGGGUACACGAGUGGCGAACGGGUGAGUAACACGUGGGUGAUCUGCCCUGCACUUCGGGAUAAGCCUGGGAAACUGGGUCUAAUACCGGAUAGGACCACUGCCUGCAUGGGUGGUGGUGGAAAGCUUUUGCGGUGUGGGAUGGGCCCGCGGCCUAUCAGCUUGUUGGUGGGGUGAAGGCCUACCAAGGCGACGACGGGUAGCCGGCCUGGGAGGGUGACCGGCCACACUGGGACUGAGAUACGGCCCAGACUCCUACGGGAGGCAGCAGUGGGGAAUAUUGCACAAUGGGCGCAAGCCUGAUGCAGCGACGCCGCGUGAGGGAUGACGGCCUUCGGGUUGUAAACCUCUUUCAGCACCGACGAAGCGCAAGUGACGGUAGGUGCAGAAGAAGGACCGGCCAACUACGUGCCAGCAGCCGCGGUAA